Molecule: non-coding RNA, 73 nt
Organism: Ornithorhynchus anatinus (platypus)
Lineage: Eukaryota; Metazoa; Chordata; Mammalia; Monotremata; Ornithorhynchidae
Source: the annotation of a RefSeq genome assembly
GCCUGGGUAGCUCAGUUAGUAGAGUAUCAUACUUUUAAUCUGAAGGUCCAGGGUUUAACUCCCUGUUCGGGUA